RNAcentral lists this long non-coding RNA (3341 nucleotides) under Sus scrofa (pig). RNAcentral's name for it is "lncRNA (ENSSSCG00000063448.1, ENSSSCG00130005369.1, ENSSSCG00175016256.1)". The record is from RNAcentral. Lineage: Eukaryota; Metazoa; Chordata; Mammalia; Artiodactyla; Suidae.
UGGCAGCUGUAGCUCAGAUUCGACCCCUAGCCAGGGAAAUCCAUAUGCCACAAGUGCGGCCCUAAAAAGAAAAAAAAAAAAAUCUAUUCCACUUUUGAAAUAAAGAAUUUUCUUUUGAACAGAAAAUCUGGCAACCUUCUUAAGUAAAACUAUUCUUCCAGAAAGUAAUUAUUUAUGAAAAUUUUUAAUUUAAAUAAUACCACUUUUAGAAUAUCUAUAGGACCAGGAAACUGUUUUCAUAAAAGACUCAGGGAAAAGAUUUAUAAACAAUCAAAAUAUUGUUUAUAAAUAUCUAUAAACAUUGCAAAAUAUUUACAAGUAAGAGUAAAGAAACUUAAUUGUUGCUCUCCAGCUCACCAUUUCAUGGAUAAAUAAAUCAUUCCAUAACAUAGAAACUGAUGUUAUUUCAUAACGUUCUCUACCUAGACUAUCUACAUGAUUUAGCAAAAGAAACAAAUUUAAAAACUAAAAGUGACCAAUAACUUAUAAUAUGUCAACUAAAUAUUCACAGUAAAUGUCUACAUAAAAUGUUGAGAUACUCAUUUAAGUUUCCAAGAUCAAUCUAAAAGCUACCACUUCCAAGCUAAUGCUUAUCUAUAAAAAUUCUAGCCCUAUACAUUCUAUCGUGUCUAAAUCGACUUUAGAUUUUAAAAAAAAGUAUUUUUCAAAGAACAAGUUGAGAUAUCAAAGCAGAAAUUCAGGGUCUGAAAAAUGAGUGGUUUUACUCAGAAAAUGGAUAGCUUAGGAAUUUUACAAGCCUUUAGAUUCAAGAGUAAUCAAGCUAAGACCAGUUGGGUCAUGAUUCACUCUCCUAUGCUACUUGUAAUUUUCUAUCUGGUAUGUUUUUCAUUUUAUACAUUUCAUGCUGUUUGUCUCUAUGGUUACUUAAUCAAAAUGAGUACCCGGUCCAUACACAGGAAGUACUAUUUCCUUGUGAAUUCCACAUACUAAAUUAAUAACCUCUUAUACUUUUGCAACGACUAGUUUACAUUUCACCUCUAAGGAAAAAGUUUCAGAAGAUUCUUUUGACUUUCUUUCUUUUUGAAUUUCGUAUAUUAUACAGACUUCAGUAUUUCAUGAUAGUUGAGUUUGCCAACACAUCACAAUCUACGUUCUUUGACAUAUCAUGCCUUUGCCCAUCAGUAAGUGCUCUUCUGAGCCUCAGUCAGACAUACCUUAGUUUUUAAAAAACACUUUUUUUGUCUGUAUCAAAUCUAAGUCAAAAUCAAUUGACAAAAUUAGGUGAAUACUAGUAUUCAUUCAUUCAUCAAACCAGGACCUGGAGAGAAGUACAUAAACACCAACUCCUCGGUGACUCACCAUGGUUAGGUUUCCUAAGCAACACUAGAGCAUCUUAUUUUAAAGAAAAUUAAAAUGUGGUUUGAUACUAUGUAUAUUCUCCACCUGAAAGCAUGUAUGCAAUAAUUAGGAGUAUAGACCUUAGACUUUCUGGGUUCAUAUCAUGAAUCUAACAUUGACUUGUUAUGGACAAAUUACUUAACAAUGCCUCAGUUUCCUCACUGUAACAGGAUUAUUUUAAAGAAAAAAAAGAGAUUUACAUUUUUAAUGUGUGGAAUAGUUCCUGACCCUAUCUAAGCAUUGGUUAAAUAUCAAUCAAUCAGUCUUACCCCAUGUAGCAUGAAACCAUGGCUUCUAAGAAAAAAUUUUUUAUGAGAAAUAUUUUUCCACCCUCCCAUGAGGCAAGAUAAUCCUGACUUUAAAUUUCCUUGUAUAGCACUUAAAUAUUAGCCGAUCAGCUAGUCUCAUAUCUAUGAGAGUUCUAGGCACUAACCAUAUUGGGCAUUUUAUGUAUCACUUCAUUUAAUCUACUGUGGGAAUCCUACAAAGAUUGGCAAUUUUCUCAUUACAGAUGAGAAAACUCUAGUUUUGAGAAGAUAGAUAAUUUGCACAAAUUCACUGAGUUAGUGGCAGAAAUGGGCCAACUGAAGACAUCUCCUAAGCCAAUGUUUUUAAUCAGUCCAUCACCAUGGAUAGAGCACUAGAAAAAAAGAUAAUUUCACAACUUUUCAAAACUAAAAAUUUGUCCCAUCCAAGUAUUCUUAGCCACAUCCUGGAAGCCCAGCAAUGUAAAAUUUGAAUACAUCAGUGCCUGAGCAUGUGUUUCCUGCUUCCUAGAAGCCAUGGGCUUAUGUGUGUGAUUGAUCCCCACGGUUUACUAAGGUUCAUCAGUGGAAAUCAAGGCUACAUCGGCAAUGGCCUCUAGGUGGUAUCUGGAAUCACGUCAAAAAUGACCUUCUGAAGCUUCCCCAUACAUGUUUGUAAAAUACUGGCACCAGAGUAUUUAGUCUUAGCAGCUACAUAGUUCUGGAAAGUCCAACUUAUCAACCUAUUAGCCUAAUGAUUAGUUAGCUCUAAUGUAACAGUCUCAAGGAUGAAUGUCCUAUUAUUGAUAGGAAACACUGACUAGCUCUGAGUGGGUCUUUUCAAAUUGUGAAACUCCAAUAAAAUGUCUCCACUCACUUGGCUUGGCUCAAUUGCUAAUGAAGAAGUCUGGAUUUUAUGAACUCCCUGACCAAAAGCAGUCAGUACAAAAUCUUAAUGUCAGCCUAUCCUGUCUUUGCUGACAGAUCCCAGAAGGGCCUACCAAUGACUCACUUUCACCAGUUAAAAAAUAAGCAGAAGCCACUUCUUUGUUCCUCUCUGAAACAACUGACUUGGGAAGUUUGGCCCUCUACCACUCAGAUAAGUGUCUAAAAUAAUGUUCUUUGUCUCUGAGUAUCACUGGCUACCAGUGAUCUCUGUUUCAGUGAAGAAGGGUGUAAUUUUAGAUUCUCCUGAACCGAAAGACUAAAUUCUGGAUUUGAUAACACUAGAUACUUAAUGCCAAAAGAAGAACCAUGCAGAAGGCUGCAGAAGCAUUCAGACAGCUUAGGAGGGAAAUGGAAUGUGGAACUGCUUCAGAAGAGUUGUGGUUCAUGUUGCUACCAGACAUGCUGAGAGGCAGAACUUGUAGCUGGCAGAUGCUCAACACAGAAUAAGCUGCUCAUCUCUCUAGCACUGCUUAGAAAAGAUCACCUCUUUUAGAAGAGGGACUAUACAUGUACAACAUAGCAGUCAUCAUCCUGGUCAGUGAUCUAGACAAAACAUCUGAGUUACAGCAUGAAAAUCACAGUUCAUUAAGAUGGUUUGCAGGCACAUCAAAAAUUAAAAAAGCAGCUUCAGAUCAAAGGAGUGGAGAGAUUAUUAUAUUCAUUGUAUUCCAGAAAUCUGCUUCUACAUCACUUAAUUCUAGUAAACCCUGGGUUGACACUUCCAACUACAGUAUAGAUUAUAAACUAAUUAAAACCAUUUAUAGGACCCUUGACUUACAAGACUAACUU